CUCAGCGUAGACGAUGAUGAGAAGAGAGCCACCAAGCCAAUCGCAGCUCAUCCUCCUCCUCCUAUGCCUGCUGCGGCGGCGGAAAAGCAUUCUCCGCCGGCAGCUUCCGACAACCCCUAUUGGACCACCGACGGAUUGCCGCUAGGGCACGACAGCGUCAUGGGCGAACCUCUGCGUCGAGCUCAGUGGGACUCCAGCCUCUUCGCUUGUCUCGGUCGCACUGAUGAGUUCUGCAGCAGCGAUCUUGAAGUUUGUUUGGAGACUUCAAGCAGCUCUUGGUGAGCAAAUAGAAAUCACAAAAUUUAGCCAGUAGGGGUAUGAAAGACUUCAAAAUAUUCGAGAUGUGAUAUGGACAUGUUUGGUAAUUUGGAGGGCAGAUGGUAGCUCAUUUUGUGUUUUUGUUCAUAUUACCUUACAUGUAUUUUGGCUGCGUUGUAAAUUUUAUAUUAUUGUUGGUAUUACAAGGCAUGUUGGGUAAUCCGCCCUUGAUAUUUUAUUUUUGUUGAUAUUAGUGGACAUGUUUUGUUGUUGGAUAUUAGGAGA
Camellia sinensis is the source of this 543-nucleotide non-coding RNA. The record is from RefSeq and is a predicted model, not a curated record. NCBI's taxonomy places the organism in Eukaryota, Viridiplantae, Streptophyta, Magnoliopsida, Ericales, Theaceae.